Molecule: small RNA, 801 nt
Filed under: Pongo abelii (Sumatran orangutan)
Lineage: Eukaryota; Metazoa; Chordata; Mammalia; Primates; Hominidae
Description: processed transcript
Rfam family: TTC28 antisense RNA 1 conserved region 3 (bases 610-789)
Source: RNAcentral
GAGUCAAGCACCCAGCUUCACCCUGGGGUUGGCCGCACAGCUUCACCGGGGCCACAGCUGCUGAUGACAAUGGCAGUAGUGGCCAGUGUCUGCUGGCACGACCUCCCAUCAUCCCAGGAAGGGGCAGCGCCAGCGGGGCACAGAUGCCUGCCAUCACAGAUGGAAACAGCAGGUAAAUGGCACUUGUUUCCCCCAGGUGUGGAGAUGCUUGUGUCUGGGACCUCCUGCCAUUUCUCAGGACACCAUCCUGCUCCUAGCUGGGAGAUUCAGCAUCCUCAUGAAUGCAGGGCCCAAGGCCACCAACUGUUCCACCUGCUGUCAGCCAGGCCUGUUGCCCCAGCCCUAUACCCACAGCUCACCCAGCAGGGACUGGAGUGUGCUGCUGCACUGCUGGAGCCGGUCGCCCGGGUCGGAGGUUGGGAAGAAGACAGCCGCUGGCAGGCCGCUGGUUGGGGGGUCCAGCCGGAAGCCCACAGCGGUGAGGAGGGCCUGCCAGCCAGGGAUGCCACCCACUUUGUUCUCCACACUCUGCUGGGACGUGUACAUGGCAUUGCGCUGCCCAUUCUGGAUGCGCUGCAGGGACUUCUCCACCUGGGGGGGAAUUGGGGUAAACACUGGGAUGCUGGAGCUCAGGCAUCCCAGACAGGAGGAGUGUGUACUCACACCAGCCAGGAGGAAACAAGCCUGCCUGAGAGGACAGAGGAUCAGCCCUGGCUGUCCCUCGGGAGCGGGGGGCCUCCAAGGCACACUGCCCACUGGGUCAAGGAGUAUCCAGGAGGAGUUAGAAGCAUGACCCAUCCG